GGACGAACGCUGGCGGCACGCUAACACAUGCAAGUCGAACGGAGUUUGGAGCUUGCUCCAAACUAGUGGCGGACGGGUGAGUAACACGUGAGCAACCUACCUCUGAGAGCGGAAUAGCUUCUGGAAACGGAUGGUAAUACCGCAUGACAUUGUGAAGCCGCAUGACUUUACAAUCAAAUGAAUUUCGCUCAGAGAUGGGCUCGCGCCUGAUUAGCUAGAUGGUGAGGUAACGGCCCACCAUGGCGACGAUCAGUAGCCGGACUGAGAGGUUGAACGGCCACAUUGGGACUGAGACACGGCCCAGACUCCUACGGGAGGCAGCAGUGGGGAAUAUUGCACAAUGGGCGAAAGCCUGAAUGCAGCGAUGCCGCGUGGAGGAAGAAGGUUUUCGGAUUGUAAACUCCUUUUUCAGGGACGAUAAUGACGGUACCUGAAGAAGAAGCUCCGGCUAACUACGUGCCAGCCGCAGC
Molecule: ribosomal RNA, 470 nt
Filed under: uncultured bacterium
Lineage: Bacteria
Description: bacterial SSU rRNA
Rfam family: Bacterial small subunit ribosomal RNA
Source: RNAcentral